UAAUGCUGUCCCUGGAGAAGAUGUUUUCAUUUGCUUGAGCGACACGCAUGAUGAACAGCAACAAUGCCUCAAACACAUCAUUCUUUCACUCAGGAAAAAGGAGCAAAAAUAAUGACUCAUCUUUUACAUACUGUAGGGCUGUCUGUCUCCCUCUCUACACUUACGGCAUCCACACCUCUCCCCGUGUCAGCGUCGUACGCCUGCUCUUCUCAACAGCUUUGGUGAGGAGACUGUGUCAGGUCAAUUAACAGUGCUGCUCCGUACAUUUUCCACCUGACUCUUCCCAUUAGCACCACUGAGAUACACAACAGCAAAGAGCGUGCAACCACACCUUCAGUGUAAGCAUUUCUUCCCUGCUUUAACAGAAUUUUUCUCCUUUUUCUGUAAGUCAGGAUGCUGUUUUCUAAGCUUUUUUCCCCCUUUAUCUCUCUUCCUCAUUUGGUUUAAGUUGCGGUUGAGCAGCGGAAAGGCCACCUGCAUGACACGCCGCUGUUGUCAUAUUUUCUAAUUACAGAGCAACAGGAAACUAGAGUUUGUGUCGAUGUGAGGGCGUGUGUGCUAGUGGACAAUGUGACCGCACAGAGAGUCUGUUUAUGCCAUCUGUGGCCGAUUCCAAACAAAAUCCUCCUGCAGAAUGAACCAUCCCCAAUCCAUUGGAAGUGUGUGAUUUCAUACUAUCCCGUGAGCUCGGUAAGGCUACCAUGUGACCUAUUGUGACCAGUAAACAGAAAGCAAUGAUGCAUUUUAAACUCAGUGUUUACAGAUGGUUUGCUAUAACCAAGAGAUAUAUAUCACAAUUUGCAUACUAUACAGUACAUACUGUAUAUGAUAUGGACGCUUGUUUCCACAUGGAAUUAAAAAUAAAAAAGGUAAUUGUGACUUUUUAUCUCUUUUU
Long non-coding RNA from Cyprinus carpio (common carp), 895 nucleotides. The record is from Ensembl. NCBI's taxonomy places the organism in Eukaryota, Metazoa, Chordata, Actinopteri, Cypriniformes, Cyprinidae.